RNAcentral lists this transfer RNA (76 nucleotides) under Staphylococcus aureus. RNAcentral's name for it is "tRNA-Thr". It matches the Rfam family "tRNA". Rfam says of the family: Transfer RNA (tRNA) molecules are approximately 80 nucleotides in length. Their secondary structure includes four short double-helical elements and three loops (D, anti-codon, and T loops). RNAcentral also lists the same sequence under 2 other names. Lineage: Bacteria; Bacillati; Bacillota; Bacilli; Caryophanales; Staphylococcaceae. The record is from RNAcentral.
GCCGGCCUAGCUCAAUUGGUAGAGCAACUGACUUGUAAUCAGUAGGUUGGGGGUUCAAGUUCUCUGGCCGGCACCA